UGCAAGUCGAACGAACCUUCGGGUUAGUGGCGGACGGGUGAGUAACGCGUGGGAAUCUGCCCUCAGGAGGGGGAUAACGGCUGGAAACGGCCGCUAAUACCCCAUAUGCCGAGAGGUGAAAUGAAAUUCGCCUGAGGAUGAGCCCGCGUCUGAUUAGCUAGUUGGUGUGGUAAUGGCGCACCAAGGCUUCGAUCAGUAGCUGGUCUGAGAGGAUGAUCAGCCACGCUGGGACUGAGACACGGCCCAGACUCCUACGGGAGGCAGCAGUGGGGAAUUUUCCGCAAUGGGCGAAAGCCUGACGGAGCAACGCCGUGUGAGGGAUGAAGGCCUCUGGGCUGUAAACCUCUUUUCUCAAGGAAGAGGAACUGACGGUACUUGAGGAAUAAGCCACGGCUAAUUCCGUGCCAGCAGCCGCGGUAAUACGGGAGUGACAAGCGUUAUCCGGAAUUAUUGGGCGUAAAGCGUCCGCAGGCGGCCUUGUAAGUCUGCUGUCAAAGCGUGGAGCUUAACUCCAUUUCGGCAGUGGAAACUACAAGGCUUGAGUGUGGUAGGGGCAGAGGGAAUUCCCGGUGUAGCGGUGAAACGCGUAGAUAUCGGGAAUAACACCAGUGGCGAAGGCGCUCUGCUGGGCCAUAACUGACGCUCAUGGACGAAAGCCAGGGGAGCGAAAGGGAUUAGAUACCCCUGUAGUCCUGGCCGUAAACGAUGAACACUAGGUGUCGGGGGAAUCGACCCCCUCGGUGUCGUAGCCAACGCGUUAAGUGUUCCGCCUGGGGAGUACGCACGCAAGUGUGAAACUCAAAGGAAUUGACGGGGGCCCGCACAAGCGGUGGAGUAUGUGGUUUAAUUCGAUGCAACGCGAAGAACCUUACCCAGGCUGGACAUGCAGGUAGUAGAAGGGUGAAAGCCCAACGAGGUAGAAAUACCAUCCUGCUCAGGUGCUGCAUGGCUGUCGUCAGCUCGUGCCGUGAGGUGUUGGGUUAAGUCCCGCAACGAGCGCAACCCCUGUCUUCAGUUACUAACAGGUCAAGCUGAGAACUCUGGAGAGACUGCCCAGGAGAACGGGGAGGAAGGUGGGGAUGACGUCAAGUCAGCAUGGCCUUUAUGCCUGGGGCUACACACGUGCUACAAUGGCCGGUACAAAGGGCUGCAAACCCGCAAGGGGGAGCCAAUCCCAAAAAACCGGCCUCAGUUCAGAUUGGGGUCUGCAACUCGACCCCAUGAAGGCGGAAUCGCUAGUAAUCGCGGAUCAGAACGCCGCGGUGAAUACGUUCCCGGGCCUUGUACACACCGCCCGUCACACCACGAAAGUUUGUUGUACCUGAAGUCGUUGCGCCAACCGCAAGGAGGCAGGCGCCCACGGUAUGACCGAUGAUUGGGGUGAAGUCGUAACAAGGUA
This 1399-nucleotide ribosomal RNA is filed under the name metagenome. RNAcentral describes it as "bacterial SSU rRNA". It matches the Rfam family "Bacterial small subunit ribosomal RNA". The record is from RNAcentral.